RNAcentral lists this long non-coding RNA (602 nucleotides) under Phoenix dactylifera (date palm). RNAcentral's name for it is "long non-coding RNA (PDAC_LNC001089)". The record is from RNAcentral. Lineage: Eukaryota; Viridiplantae; Streptophyta; Magnoliopsida; Arecales; Arecaceae.
AGUUUGAAUAAAACAAUCAAAACUGUCCAGCAAGAUGAUGCAUUCAUGGGUCAUUAGAUAACUGCAUAAUGAUUUCAAUAAUUGGAAGGAUAUCUAAUCUCCUUGCAAUAAUUACCUUCCAACUUAAUUUGACUGCUUGUAGAUUCAAUUCUCACAUAAGAUUGAUGAGCUAUGUAAGUGAAACAAGUUAAUAGUAACAUGCACUCUCACAUGCACCUCAAUCCAAUGCUGCCAUCUUAUGUGCAGCGCUCAUGAAUGCAGCAUUCCAUCAUGAGUACAGCACAUUGCCAAACUUGUCUGUCGUACAUUAUUUACGAUUAUGUCUAGUUUACACACAAAUUUACAUAUAUUUCAAUGCACAAUUACAUCCAUAACAUGGAAAUUUUAAAAAAAUAAUUCUAUAUUCCAUAUAAGACUAAGGAUUUUUUUUUUUUGGAGGUGGGAUAUUCGGGUUGUAUCUUUCGCGCGAAAAAAUGAUUAAUCUUCUUUUAUAAUGUCAACCAUUGAAUUACAUCUUGUAUGGAUCUCAAAGUACUCCAAUAUCUUUCUUCCAUAUAGUGAAACCAACAGUAAUGGAUAUCGAAAUAUUUUACCCUCCUCCU